UGCAAGUCGAACGCGAAAGCCCCUUCGGGGGCAAGUAGAGUGGCGCACGGGUGAGUAACACGUAGGUAAUCUACCUUUGGAUGGGGAAUAACAACCGGAAACGGUUGCUAAUACCGCAUAAUGCAGCGGCACCUAAUGGUGACAGUUGUUAAAGCGGGGGAUCGUAAGACCUCGCGUCUAAAGAGGAGCCUGCGGCGGAUUAGCUAGUUGGUAAGGUAACGGCUUACCAAGGUGAUGAUCCGUAACCGGCCUGAGAGGGCGGUCGGUCACACUGACACUGACAUACGGGUCAGACUCCUACGGGAGGCAGCAGUCGGGAAUUUUGGGCAAUGGGCGAAAGCCUGACCCAGCAACGCCGCGUGAAGGAUGAAAUCCCUCGGGAUGUAAACUUCGCAAGAACGGGAAGAAUAAGUUAGUGUGAAUAUCACCAGCGAUGACGGUACCGUUUGUAAGCUCCGGCUAACUCCGUGCCAGCAGCCGCGGUAAUACGGGGGAGCAAGCGUUGUUCGGAUUUACUGGGCGUAAAGGGCGCGUAGGCGGCCACCGCAAGUCAGUUGUGAAAUCUCUGGGCUUAACCCAGAAAGGUCAACUGAUACUGCGGGGCUAGAGUGCAGAAGGGGCAACUGGAAUUCUCGGUGUAGCGGUGAAAUGCGUAGAUAUCGAGAGGAACACCUGCGGCGAAGGCGGGUUGCUGGGCUGACACUGACGCUGAAGCGCGAAAGCUAGGGGAGCGAACGGGAUUAGAUACCCCGGUAGUCCUAGCCUUAAACGAUGAAUGCUUGGUGUCUGGGGUUUUAUAGUCCCCGGGUGCCGUCGCUNACGCUUUAAGCAUUCCGCCUGGGGAGUACGGUCGCAAGACUGAAA
RNAcentral lists this ribosomal RNA (864 nucleotides) under uncultured Bacillota bacterium. RNAcentral describes it as "bacterial SSU rRNA". It matches the Rfam family "Bacterial small subunit ribosomal RNA", at positions 56 to 899 of the family's 1533-position model. Lineage: Bacteria; Bacillati; Bacillota. The record is from RNAcentral.